GGGGUUUUGGUUCAGUGGUAGAACGCUUGCCUAGCAUGUAUGAGGCAUUGGGUUCAAUCCUCAGCACCACA
This 71-nucleotide transfer RNA is filed under the name Marmota monax (woodchuck). RNAcentral's name for it is "tRNA.Ala". Lineage: Eukaryota; Metazoa; Chordata; Mammalia; Rodentia; Sciuridae. The record is from RNAcentral.